RNAcentral lists this ribosomal RNA (514 nucleotides) under uncultured microorganism. Its description in RNAcentral is "bacterial SSU rRNA". It matches the Rfam family "Bacterial small subunit ribosomal RNA", at positions 9 to 521 of the family's 1533-position model. The record is from RNAcentral.
GAGUUUGAUCGUGGCUCAGGAUGAACGCUGGCGGCGUGCCUAACACAUGCAAGUCGAACGGAGAUGGUGUAAGCGGAGACUUCGGUCAAAGGUUAUAGUAUCUUAGUGGCGGACGGGUGAGUAACGCGUGGGUAACCUGCCGUAUACAGGGGGAUAACAACUGGAAACAGUUGCUAAAACCGCAUAAGCGCACACUGUUGCAUGACAGAGUGUGAAAAUUUCCGGAGGUAUACGAUGGACCCGCGUCUGAUUAGCUUGUUGGCGGGGUAACGGCCCACCAAGGCGACGAUCAGUAGCCGGCCUGAGAGGGUGGACGGCCACAUUGGGACUGAGACACGGCCCAAACUCCUACGGGAGGCAGCAGUGGGGAAUAUUGGACAAUGGGGGGAACCCUGAUCCAGCGACGCCGCGUGAGUGAAGAAGUAUUCGGUAUGUAAAGCUCUAUCAGCAGGGAAGAAAGAAAUGACGGUACCUGACCAAGAGCCCCGGCUAACUACGUGCCAGCCGCCGCGGU